Molecule: signal recognition particle RNA, 267 nt
Filed under: Actinobacteria bacterium RBG_16_68_21
Lineage: Bacteria; Bacillati; Actinomycetota
Description: signal recognition particle sRNA large type
Rfam family: Bacterial large signal recognition particle RNA
About the family: The signal recognition particle (SRP) is a universally conserved ribonucleoprotein involved in the co-translational targeting of proteins to membranes. Archaeal SRP consists of a 7S RNA and homologues of the eukaryotic SRP19 and SRP54 proteins.
Source: RNAcentral
UCGUGCUAGGCGGGGCGCUAGGGGUGCCCUGAACCCGAAAUCCUCUUGAUGCGGGGCUGAGUCCCCCGCCCGAGGAUUCGCAUGGUCGGGUCGAGCGCCGGACACGUGGUGUUGAAGGCCGGGUCCCACGCGGCGGGGAAUCGUGAAUCGGGUCAGGUCCGGAAGGAAGCAGCCCUUAGCGAGGCACCCGGGUGCCGUGGGGUCGCCUGGCUGGAGCCGUCGAUCCGGAACGCGCCGGUUGUGCGGGUUCGAGGGCGGGGAGCACGA